Passer montanus (Eurasian tree sparrow) is the source of this 2463-nucleotide long non-coding RNA. RefSeq lists it as uncharacterized. The transcript has 3 exons. NCBI's taxonomy places the organism in Eukaryota, Metazoa, Chordata, Aves, Passeriformes, Passeridae. The record is from RefSeq and is a predicted model, not a curated record.
UCUGCCAAUGUGGCUUUGGGGAAGAUGCUUUUGGGAGAACUGAACACUACCAGACCCUGCUUUGGGUCCUGGUACUGGUGGGCAAUUCUCCUUUUUCAGGCUGAAAUCUCUCUGUGUUCAGUUUCAUUCUGUAGGAGUUCGGGGAAGAGGAGACAAGAAAUGCAGGGAUGUCUUUGGAAGGGCACCUUCUUUGCUUUGUUGCUGGGGAGAUCAGACAUCCAAAAAGUUGGCUGCACACAUCUACCCAUGACAUCCAGGGAAAUGCUCACUUUGAAGAUGGGAGAGUCGCCACCAUCAUCCUCAGGAUCAUCAUCUUCAUCAUCAACUGUGAGACUGUGAACCUUCUUCACAGAAGCCAACUCCAACACCAGCCUCAGGGACACCCAUGGCAGCAAAAGGAGAAGCCUGUGAAUUCUUCCCUCUUGAAAUGACUCCCUUUCUCCUCCCUGCUGCUCUGCCAUCCCAGAUGGAGCCUGGCACCCUGGAGCAGCCACCCUUCAUCCCUGCAGAGCAGCCCCUGCUAAAGCCUUCGAGGUGUGAGCUCAGUGGAACAUUUAUACAUUUAAUUCUUUUAAUUUAUCUGUAUAUUGAAUUAAAUUUUGAGACAAAAAGUUCUCAAGAGCGGUUGCUGCGAGAAGCUAGAAAGCUCCAUGUGGGAACAGAGCAUAUUCCUGGGGUUUUGGCAUUCUGCUUUUGUGUCUAUUAAUAAUCCCCCGGAGUGAGUCAUAUGGAGCUGCAUUUAUUCACUGACUCGGAGAGAGCUGCUACCCAAAAUAGCAGCUCUGUAAUUUUUUAUGAUGCUGUAAUGCCAGUGCAGUGAAGAUUGACAUCAUUUGAGGGAGAUGCUCCAGCCUGGCAGCCAGAGAACCCGUGUCCAGCCCCACAAGGAACGUGGAGAGCCACGUGCUCCAUUACAUAAAAGAGCCAGAGAGCCAGCACGGGGUGGAGAUGCCUCUUCUGUCCUCACCUGAGCCUCUUUUCCCCAGAUUUCUUCCCCUUUUUAGGCCUUUUUAAGCCUUUUUUGCUCAUUUUCUUCAAUCAUGAGGAGCACUGGGCCAGAGGAUGAAGAGGAAAUGGCUUUUGCUGCAGAGAGGAGCCUCAAGCACGUCUCAAACCAUCAACCUGCCUGCUAGGAGGUCCAUAGGGAAAUCUUGAAAUGCAUCAAAUUCAGCAUCACCAGCUCAUCCUUUUCCUCACCCACGUUGCUGCUCCGUGUCCCUCCCUGAACCCCCGAGUGUCCCCUGUGCCCAAAAUCUGCCAGCUCCUCCCCAGCCCCGUGUUCCUGACUGAUGGCAACCCCAGGCAAAGGGCAGAGAAACGCUGGGGCAGGGUUUGGGCUGGGCUUUGUAAGGAUCAGUCUGCUUUUCUGGAUUGCUUCUCAUUCUCUGCCCUGCACUGCUGCCAUCAGGUCUGUCCUGGAGUGGCAGCCAGUGGGGCAUCCAAGACAUCCCAGGGUGGCCCCACUGCUCCCCAAAAACACCUCUGGGUACCACUCAGGCUUUUUGGCACAAUUCUGGCUAAAAUUCCUCUGCAGGAGCCCCAGCCCAUCACUGUGCUCUCCACCAAAGCAUUCAGAAAGACGAAUUUGCCAGUGCUGGGCAUUAAUAGCCUGGGUGAACUUUUGCAGUGUUUUACAGGCUCCCUUCCAGCUGGAAAUGUUUAUUAACAUUACCUUUGCAUGCAGCACUUGGGGAGAAAAGGGAACUGCUGCCACAGCAGCCUUGAGGCAGUGUGACUGAUGGGAUGAGCAGCAGCUGUGGCUCAGGUUUGGUCAGAGCAGCUCAAGUGCUUUGGGUGAAGGGUGUCACACCUUUGGGGGACCUGCGUGGAAGAUGGAAUGUGACAGUUGAGCUACAGACCCUCAAUACAACCACUGGCAUAAAUUAAUGAAUAUAGUCUUAAUAGGAGGGGUCAGGACUUGGGGUCCCUUGUUUCUUGAAGGGGGAGAAAGGGACUUUGCUCCAAGAUACUCCAGCCCCUAAGCCCUGCUGUUCCCAGAACACAGAAACAGUAGGCUGAAGGAAUUUAGCACUGCCCUAGCAAGGCUGGCAAUGAUUUCUACUUCACAUCAUGAACACUGCUCAGCACCUGAACAAGGGCUUGAAGUUUUAGGGCUCCUGCAUCUUAAUCCUAAUUUUCUUAAUGCUAACUUCCAGAGAGGAAAAAUUUCCAGGAGUAGAGGUGGUGGAGGAAUGCUCAUAACAGAGGAUGGAUGAGGGAUACACCCCUCAAAGACUCACCUCAUCAGGCCCAAGGGAGACCUGGUUUUUUCAUUCUAAAUAUAACAGAUGCAGCAGUCAAAAUGAACUUUUGAGGGUCUGGAUUCUGGAUUUUAAGCAUAAAACACUAAUGCCCAAGUCAGAGAAGAGAGGUUGAAAUAGUCUCAUUAGAUCUGGUUGCUGAGAGCCUGUCCAGUUUCAUUUCUAGACUGAAAAGUGGUGUUUUGGUUAUUACAAUACCUCU